RNAcentral lists this ribosomal RNA (494 nucleotides) under uncultured bacterium. RNAcentral describes it as "partial 16S ribosomal RNA". It matches the Rfam family "Bacterial small subunit ribosomal RNA", at positions 28 to 507 of the family's 1533-position model. The record is from RNAcentral.
GACGAACGCUGGCGGCGUGCUUAACACAUGCAAGUCGAACGGAAAGGCCUGCUUUCCCUUGUGGAUUGCGGGUACUCGAGUGGCGAACGGGUGAGUAACACGUGAGUGAUCUGCCCCCAACUUGGGUAUAAGCCUGGGAAACUGGGUCUAAUUCCCGAUAGGACUGCAGGGUGGUGCCCGUGGUGGAAAACGAUUUUCUAGUGGUUGGGGAUGAGCUCGCGGCCUAUCAGCUUGUUGGUGGGGUAAUGGCCUACCAAGGCGGCGACGGGUAGCCGGCCUGAGAGGGUGGACGGCCACAUUGGGACUGAGAUACGGCCCAGACUCCUACGGGGGGCAGCAGUGGGGAAUAUUGCACAAUGGGCGGAAGCCUGAUGCAGCGACGCCGCGUGGGGGAUGACGGCCUUCGGGUUGUAAACUCCUUUCGACCGCGAGGAAGCCACCUGGUUGGAAGGGUGGUGACGGUAGUGGUAGAAGAAGCACCGGCUAACUACGUG